Molecule: long non-coding RNA, 727 nt
Organism: Malaclemys terrapin pileata
Lineage: Eukaryota; Metazoa; Chordata; Testudines; Emydidae
Exons: 3
Source: RefSeq, a predicted model, not a curated record
CCUUAUAAGGACAUUUCGGUCCCUCCCGGAUGAUCUCCCCCGCCCGGAGGCCGCAGAGAUGGGGCAGGGAGCUCGGCCCUCCUGCCUCCCCCGUCCCAGCCCAGCCCUCGGAGUCACGGGCACGGUCAGGGCCGGCCCCGGGCGGGAUGGACAAUGGGAAGCUGCUCGGCCACAGGGACUGACAUUUACCCUCUUUACAAUGGAGACAAGCAUCCGGAGAGGCUCCAUUCAUCCCUGAUUCUAAAGCAGACACCAGCCAAGGAAACAGGAUUGGAUUUUAAACAGCAACAGCAGCUCCAGCCCAUCUCAACUAAUGUUCUCUCUGUUCCUGGAGGACAGUUACUGCCAUUUAUCGCUGGUGCAAAGAUUGAGAAGUGGAGGGGGGAGGAGAGAGAACAAGGGAUGUUGUUGCAAGGCAAGCCUGACUUAACCCUUCACAUUCCAAAUCCUUUCCCUUGCUCUGUAUGGUUAACGAAGGGUUCCCAGGGGACUGUAAUGGUGUUUGGGGCUAAGCAGGCUGAGGGCUCUGUACUCCAGCCCCCAAGUCUUGGUUAACACUAUUCAGUGGCAAGCAGCAAUAGGGCCACGUUAACACCUUCGCCUCUAGGGUCCAUCUAAAUUAAUACAACAGCCCUCCCUCCCUCUCCCAGCCCCACCUCAGUGGGAAGGGAACAGUCCAGCCUCAGGUUCCUGCCCCGCUCCACCGACCCAGCUGGAAGGGAAUCAU